Non-coding RNA from Gossypium hirsutum (cotton), 116 nucleotides. Lineage: Eukaryota; Viridiplantae; Streptophyta; Magnoliopsida; Malvales; Malvaceae. The record is from Rfam.
GGGUACGAUCAUACCAGCGCUAAUGCACCGGAUCCCAUCAGAACUCCUCAAUUAAGCGUGCUUGGGCCAGAGUAGUACUAGGUUGGGUGACCUCCAGGGAAGUUGAUAUGAGUCAC